GACGAACGCUGGCGGCGUGCUUAACACAUGCAAGUCGAACGGAAAGGCCCUGCUUUUGUGGGGUGCUCGAGUGGCGAACGGGUGAGUAACACGUGAGUAACCUGCCCUUGACUUUGGGAUAACUUCAGGAAACUGGGGCUAAUACCGGAUAGGAGCUCCUGCUGCAUGGUGGGGGUUGGAAAGUUUCGGCGGUUGGGGAUGGACUCGCGGCUUAUCAGCUUGUUGGUGGGGUAGUGGCUUACCAAGGCUUUGACGGGUAGCCGGCCUGAGAGGGGGACCGGCCACAAUGGGACUGCGGUAGGGCCCAGUCUCCUACGGGAGGCAGCAGUGGGGAAUAUUGCACAAUGGGCGGGAGCCUGAGACAGCAACGCCGCGUGCGGGAUGACGGCCUUCGGGUUGUAAACCGCUUUCGCCUGUGACGAAGCGGGAGUGACGGUAAUGAGUAAAGAAGCACCGGCUAACUACGUG
RNAcentral lists this ribosomal RNA (468 nucleotides) under uncultured bacterium. RNAcentral describes it as "partial 16S ribosomal RNA". It matches the Rfam family "Bacterial small subunit ribosomal RNA", at positions 28 to 507 of the family's 1533-position model. The record is from RNAcentral.